RNAcentral lists this ribosomal RNA (254 nucleotides) under uncultured bacterium. RNAcentral's name for it is "partial 16S ribosomal RNA". It matches the Rfam family "Bacterial small subunit ribosomal RNA", at positions 524 to 776 of the family's 1533-position model. The record is from RNAcentral.
UACGAAGGGGGCUAGCGUUGUUCGGAAUUACUGGGCGUAAAGAGUUCGUAGGCGGUUUAUUUAAGCUAGAUGUGAAAUCCCUGAGCUUAACUCAGGAACUGCAUUUAGAACUGGUAGGCUAGAGAGUGUUAGAGGUUGGUAGAAUUCCUAGUGUAGGGGUGAAAUCCGUAGAUAUUAGGAGGAAUACCGAUGGCGAAGGCAGCCAACUGGGACAUUUCUGACGCUGAGGAACGAAAGCGUGGGUAGCAAACAGG